AUGGCCAGAUGGACACUUACAUGGCAUAGAUACUAGUAAGAACCUUUUUUCAUCAGUUAAUGUUGCUAUGUUGUUGAAACAUCAUUUCCAUAAACUAUAUUUGGAAUUUAAUUAUCAAAUUUCAUAUUUGCCAUUAGGUAUGCAUCUCUGGAAAAUUAUGUCGCUGAGCCAAUCAUAAGUUCAACAGAAAAGCAGCCACUCCUUGAAACUCCAGGAGAAAAAACUCAUAUACAGGUAUGCCUUUGAAUAUGGGAGCAAUUACUUUUAGUUGAAAGUGAUGAAGUGCACUUAGGAUCGACUUGAAGUUUCUGCUUGGCUAUGUACUGAACAUAUUUCUACUUGUUGUAUACUGAAUGUACUGAACAUAUUUCUACUUGUUGUAUAUUGAAUGUACUUUGUUGUUAAGAUCUAUGUACCCUUUGUAUUAUUAA
Molecule: long non-coding RNA, 431 nt
Organism: Carya illinoinensis
Lineage: Eukaryota; Viridiplantae; Streptophyta; Magnoliopsida; Fagales; Juglandaceae
Exons: 2
Source: RefSeq, a predicted model, not a curated record